UACGGAGGGGGCUAGCGUUGUCCGGAAUUAUUGGGCGUAAAGAGCUCGUAGGCGGUCUGUUACGUCUGCUGUGAAAACCCAGGGCUUAACCCUGGGCUUGCAGUGGAUACGGGCAGACUAGAGGCAGGUAGGGGAGACUGGAAUUCCUGGUGUAGCGGUGAAAUGCGCAGAUAUCAGGAGGAACACCGAUGGCGAAGGCAGCUCGCUGGGACGUGACUGACGCUGAGACGCGAAAGCGUGGGGAGCAAACAGG
Molecule: ribosomal RNA, 253 nt
Filed under: uncultured bacterium
Lineage: Bacteria
Description: partial 16S ribosomal RNA
Rfam family: Bacterial small subunit ribosomal RNA
Source: RNAcentral